Molecule: RNA transcript, 4973 nt
Organism: Cercocebus atys (sooty mangabey)
Lineage: Eukaryota; Metazoa; Chordata; Mammalia; Primates; Cercopithecidae
Gene: POLG
Gene name: polymerase (DNA directed), gamma
Exons: 23
Source: RefSeq, a predicted model, not a curated record
UCCCGCUUGCCUCUCGGGUAGCAGCGGGACCUAGUCGGGUGCAGACGGGAAGUUGCUGCUGCCAGCGAAGAGGACCCGCCGGGUGGAGGCCACACGCCACCCCGAGGCUGCGUAGGCCGCGCAUAGGGGGACGCCGCGCCGUGGGCCUGGGGUCGGGAGAACCGCAGACCAGGAAGCACCGUGCGGACCGAGGAUUUGGGGUGGAAGGCAGGCAUGGUCAAACCCAUUUCACUGACAGGAGAGCAGAGACAGGACGUGUCUCUCUCCACGUCUUCCAGCCAAUAAAAGCAGCCAAGCUGGAGUCCAAAGCUAGGUGUUCUGACUCCCAGCGUGGGGGUCCCUGCACCAACCAUGAGCCGCCUGCUCUGGAGGAAGUUGGCCGGCGCCACCGUCGUGCCAGGGCCGGUUCCAGCUCCGGGGCGCUGGGUCUCCAGCUCCGUCCCCGCGUCCGACCCCAGCGACGGGCGGCGGCGGCAGCAGCAGCAGCUGCAGCAGCCGCAAGUGCCAUCCUCGGAGGGCGGGCAGCUGCGGCACAACCCGUUGCACAUCCAGAUGCUCUCGAAAGGGCUGCACGAGCAAAUCUUCGGGCAAGGAGGGGAGAUACCCGGCGAGGCCGCGGUGCGCCGCAGCGUCGAACACCUGCAGAAGCACGGGCUCUGGGGGCAGCCAGCAGCGCCCUUGCCCGACGUGGAGCUGCGCCUGCCGCCCCUCUACGGGGACAACCUGGACCAGCACUUCCGCCUCCUGGCCCAGAAGCAGAGCCUGCCCUACCUGGAGGCGGCCAACUCGCUGUUGCAGGCCCAGCUGCCCCCGCAGCCCACGGGUUGGGCCUGGGCGGAGGGCUGGACCCGGUACGGCCCCGAGGGGGAGGCCGUACCCGUGGCCAUCCCCGAGGAGCGGGCCCUGGUGUUCGACGUGGAGGUCUGCUUGGCAGAGGGAACUUGCCCCACAUUGGCGGUGGCCAUAUCCCCCUCGGCCUGGUAUUCCUGGUGCAGCCGGCGGCUGGUGGAAGAGCGUUACUCUUGGACCAGCCAGCUGUCGCCGGCUGACCUCAUCCCCCUGGAGGUCCCUGCUGGUGCCAGCCCCACCCAGAGAGAUUGGAAGGAGCAGUUAGUGGUGGGGCACAAUGUUUCCUUUGACCGAGCUCAUAUCAGGGAGCAGUACCUGAUCCAGGGUUCCCGCAUGCGUUUCCUGGACACCAUGAGCAUGCACAUGGCCAUCUCAGGGCUAAGUAGCUUCCAGCGCAGUCUGUGGAUAGCAGCCAAGCAGGGCAAGCACAAGGUCCAGGGACCCACAAAGCAAGUCCAGAAGUCCCAGAGGAAAGCCAGAAGAGGCCCAGCGAUCUCAUCCUGGGACUGGCUGGACAUCAGCAGUGUCAACAGUCUGGCAGAGGUGCACAGACUUUAUGUAGGGGGGCCUCCCUUAGAGAAGGAGCCUCGAGAACUGUUCGUGAAGGGUACCAUGAAGGACAUUCGUGAGAACUUCCAGGACCUGAUGCAGUACUGUGCCCAGGACGUGUGGGCCACCCAUGAGGUUUUCCAGCAGCAGCUACCGCUCUUCUUGGAGAGGUGUCCCCACCCAGUGACUCUGGCUGGCAUGCUGGAGAUGGGUGUCUCCUACCUGCCUGUCAACCAGAACUGGGAGCGUUACCUGGCAGAGGCACAGGGCACUUACGAGGAGCUCCAGCGGGAGAUGAAGAAGUCGUUGAUGGACCUGGCCAACGACACCUGCCAGCUGCUCUCAGGAGAGAGGUACAAAGAAGACCCCUGGCUCUGGGACCUGGAGUGGGACCUGCAAGAAUUUAAGCAGAAGAAAGCUAAGAAGGUGAAGAAGGAGCCAGCCACAGCCAGCAAGUUGCCCAUCGAGGGGGCUGGGGCCCCUGGUGAUCCCAUGGAUCAGGAAGACCUCGGCCCCCGCAGUGAGGAGGAGGAGUUUCAACAAGAUGUCAUGGCCCGUGCCUGCUUGCAGAAGCUGAAGGGGACCACAGAGCUCCUGCCCAAGCGGCCCCAGCACCUUCCUGGACACCCUGGAUGGUACCGGAAGCUCUGUCCCCGGCUAGACGACCCCGCAUGGACCCCAGGCCCCAGCCUUCUCAGCCUGCAGAUGCGGGUCACACCUAAACUCAUGGCACUGACCUGGGAUGGCUUCCCUCUGCACUACUCAGAGCGUCAUGGCUGGGGCUACCUGGUGCCUGGGCGGCGGGACAACCUGGCCAAGCUCCCGACAGGUACCACCCUGGAAUCAGCUGGGGUGGUCUGCCCCUACAGAGCCAUCGAGUCCCUGUACAGGAAGCACUGUCUCGAACAGGGGAAGCAGCAGCUAACGCCUCAGGAGGCCGGCCUGGCUGAGGAGUUCCUGCUCACUGACAAUAGUGCCAUAUGGCAAACGGUAGAAGAACUGGAUUACUUAGAAGUGGAGGCUGAGGCCAAGAUGGAGAACUUGCGAGCUGCAGUGCCAGGUCAACCGCUAGCUCUGACUGCCCCUGGCGGCCCCAAGGACAGCCAGCCCAACUAUCACCAUGGCAACGGACCUUACAACGAUGUGGACAUCCCUGGCUGCUGGUUUUUCAAGCUGCCUCACAAGGAUGGUAAUAGCUGUAAUGUGGGAAGCCCCUUUGCCAAGGACUUCCUGCCCAAGAUGGAGGAUGGCACCCUGCAGGCUGGCCCAGGAGGUGCCAGUGGGCCCCGUGCUCUGGAAAUCAACAAAAUGAUUUCUUUCUGGAGGAACGCCCAUAAACGUAUCAGCUCCCAGAUGGUGGUGUGGCUGCCCAGGUCAGCUCUGCCCCGUGCUGUGAUCAGGCACCCCGACUAUGAUGAGGAAGGCCUCUAUGGGGCCAUCCUGCCCCAAGUGGUGACUGCCGGCACCAUCACUCGCCGGGCUGUGGAGCCCACGUGGCUCACUGCCAGCAAUGCCCGGCCUGACCGAGUAGGCAGUGAGUUGAAAGCCAUGGUGCAGGCCCCACCUGGCUACACCUUUGUGGGUGCUGAUGUGGACUCUCAAGAGCUGUGGAUUGCAGCUGUGCUUGGAGACGCCCACUUUGCCGGCAUGCAUGGCUGCACAGCCUUUGGAUGGAUGACACUGCAGGGCAGGAAGAGCAGGGGCACUGAUCUACACAGUAAGACAGCCACUACCGUGGGCAUCAGCCGUGAGCAUGCCAAAGUCUUCAACUACGGCCGCAUCUAUGGGGCUGGGCAGCCCUUUGCUGAGCGCUUACUAAUGCAGUUUAACCACCGGCUCACGCAGCAGGAGGCAGCUGAGAAGGCCCAGCAGAUGUACGCCGUCACCAAGGGCCUCCGCUGGUAUCGGCUGUCGGAUGAGGGCGAGUGGCUGGUGAGGGAGUUGCACCUCCCAGUGGACAGGACUGAGGGUGGCUGGAUUUCCCUGCAGGAUCUGCGCAAGGUCCAGAGAGAAACUGCAAGGAAGUCACACUGGAAGAAGUGGGAGGUGAUUGCUGAACGGGCAUGGAAGGGGGGCACAGAGUCAGAAAUGUUCAAUAAGCUUGAGAGCAUUGCUACGUCUGACAUACCACGUACCCCGGUGCUGGGCUGCCGCAUCAGCCGAGCCCUGGAGCCCUCGGCUGUGCAGGGAGAGUUUAUGACCAGCCGUGUGAAUUGGGUGGUACAGAGCUCUGCUGUUGACUACUUACACCUCAUGCUUGUGGCCAUGAAGUGGCUGUUUGAAGAGUUUGCCAUAGAUGGGCGCUUCUGCAUCAGCAUCCAUGACGAAGUUCGCUACCUGGUGCGGGAGGAGGACCGCUACCGUGCUGCCCUGGCCCUGCAGAUCACCAACCUCUUGACCAGUAAAAUUCCUAGUUCUUAUGGAUGAAUUAAAUGAUAUUACCGUUCCAUGUUGAUCUGCCACUCAGAACCAGUUUGGGAACCAUGAUCUAUCCUGAUUAUUGGGUAAAUAAGAGAUGUUUACAAUAUUCAACAUUGUUUCCGUUGCCCUCUUAAUCAUCUCCGGGGGGUUAUGCUUAACAAAGCUAAAAGUCCUCAUUUAUGCUUCAAACUCUGGCCCAAUUGGAAGUGAUUUCGUAUAUUAAUAAAAUGUACCAAACUGGAAGAAAAAAACAGUGUGUUGAGUCCAUAAUUGCAUUUCAGUAUCUCAGUGGGAGGUUAGGCUGCUGGAUGGAAGACAGUGCUGGACCUUCACCUUUCUUGACUUAGCUAGGUGAACAGAUGGGGUGUUGGACCAGGGGAAGCCCUGCUCUGAGGGGUGUGGGGUCAUUGUUCCAGGAGUGAUGUGUCUGUGUUCACAGGAGGGGCAUGACUGUGAGGGGAGAUUGGGUCUCUUUCAGGUGCAUGUUUGCCUACAAGCUGGGUCUGAAUGACUUGCCCCAGUCAGUCGCCUUUUUCAGUGCAGUUGAUAUUGACCGGUGCCUCAGGAAGGAAGUGACCAUGGAUUGUAAAACCCCUUCCAACCCAACUGGGAUGGAAAGGAGAUACGGGAUUCCCCAGGGUGAAGCGCUGGAUAUUUACCAGAUAAUUGAACUCACCAAAGGCUCCUUGGAAAAACGAAGCCAGCCUGGACCAUAGCACUGCCUGGAGGCUCUGUAUUUGCUCCCAUGGAGCUUCGUCGGGGCGGUGCAGGCUCCCAAACUCAGGCUUUCAGCUGUGCUUUUUGCAAAAGGGCUUGCCUAAGGCCAGCCAUUUUUCAGUAGCAGGACCUGCCAAGAAGAUUCCUUCUGACUGAAGGUGCAGUUGAAUUCAGUGGGUUCAGAACUAAGAUGCCAACAUCGGUGUGGGCUGUAGGACAAGGGGCAUUGUUGCUUGUUGGGUAAAAACGAAGCAGAAGCCCCAAAGUUCACAUUAACUCAGGCAUUUCAUUUAUUUUUUCCUUUUCUUCUUGGCUGGUUCUUUGUUCUGUUCACCAUGCUCUGAUGCAGUGCCCUAGAAGGGAAAAGAAGUAAUGCUCUAACGUGAUAAACCUGCUCCAAAGCAGUGGAAAUAAAAAGAAGAAGAAAAAAAAAACUA